Molecule: long non-coding RNA, 1170 nt
Filed under: Musa acuminata (dwarf banana)
Lineage: Eukaryota; Viridiplantae; Streptophyta; Magnoliopsida; Zingiberales; Musaceae
Description: long non-coding RNA (MACU_LNC000181)
Source: RNAcentral
AUUAUUCUUGACAAUGUUAAACUAUUCACAGAUCUGUUAAAUUAUAGGAUCAACAUUGAAAAUUUGGUUGUUUUUUUGUUAUCACUUGUUUGUGGAUUAGAAAUCAGGGUUUCAGAUAUGGGUUGGCAUGUAACAAUAUUUACUUGUUUGACCAAGAAGAUGUAUUGGGACAUAUAGGUCAGUAUUGUUUGAUUUUUACUUUUUUAUUAUGUUUCUAAUGUUCACAGUAGGUAAAGUUUGGUAUUACCCUGUGUAGUACGAUAACAAUUCGAAUGUUUAUCAAAAUUGGUAUUAGAUCAAGAAUUAAAUCCUUAUUAGGUAUAGUUCCUUUUGACUACAUUCACUUACCUUUUAGAGCUGCAUUUUCCAAGAUAGACUUUUAAACAACAAAAAUCAAUUUUUUGUAGCAACUCAUGUGCCAGCUGUCACCAACUGUUGGAAUAGAGGCAUGAUGAUCGGUACAGCAAGGCAUUUUGUGUUCGAGAUGGAUAUUGGCAUGCGACCAAUGCCUUGAAAUUCCAAGAUAGACUUUUAAACAACAAAAUCAAUUUUUUGUAGCAACUCAUGUGCCAGCUGUCACCAAUUGUUGGAAUAGAGGCAUGCUGAUCAGUACAGCAAGGCAUUUUGUGUUCGAGAUGGAUAUUGGCAUGUGACCAAUGCCUUGAAAUGACAAUUCUUGAUUGAACUCAAGGGGACCAGUUUCACCAGGACUAGUACAUAUUGACCAGUAUUUACCGGUUUGGGCAUGAACUGAGAUUUUUACCACUCUUAUCGGGUGAUCUGUUCUUUUCUUUCUUUUUUUUCUUAAAAAGGGAAGCAGCCUUGCGAUCUGCUCUUCAUGGUUCCCCAGCCCCCUUGUUGCCUCUAGCAGACUAUCCAUUCUACUCUCAGCCCCUCAUCCAGUGCCACCAAACCACUUGCUGUUGUAGGCCCGCCUGAUCUCCCAGUAAUUUUCUUCCUCCUCUGCUUCCUCUUCUCCUCCCCCUCCUGCCCCCAUGGCAUGCGGUCUGUUCAUAUGUGCGACUUGAGUAUUGUUUAGCUAAUUAUCGACCUGUUCAGCAGCUUAAGUGCAUAACCUUUUAAGUCACUACAUCUUCUACAGCUCUUUAUUUCAAUUAAUACAACUCUUUGGUUUUGUAUAAGUUAACAGAAGAAUUAUUAUGUUUUUUA